RNAcentral lists this ribosomal RNA (680 nucleotides) under uncultured bacterium. RNAcentral's name for it is "bacterial SSU rRNA". It matches the Rfam family "Bacterial small subunit ribosomal RNA", at positions 8 to 651 of the family's 1533-position model. The record is from RNAcentral.
AGAGUUUGAUCAUGGCUCAGAACGAACGCUGGCGGCGUGCCUAACACAUGCAAGUCGAACGAGAAAUCGGGCACUCAGGCAACUGAGUGCCGGAGAGUAAAGUGGCGCACGGGUGAGUAACACGUGGGUAACCUACCCCCGAAUCUGGGAUAACCUCGCGAAAGCGUUGCUAAUACCGGAUAUUGUCCUAUUGGUUGUGACCUUUGGGAUGAAAGGCAACCUCUUCAUGAAAGUUGUCGUUCAGGGAUGGGCCCGCGUACCAUUAGCUUGUUGGUGGGGUAACGGCUCACCAAGGCUACGAUGGUUAGCUGGUCUGAGAGGAUGAUCAGCCACACUGGAACUGAAACACGGUCCAGACUCCUACGGGAGGCAGCAGUGAGGAAUUUUGCGCAAUGGGGGAAACCCUGACGCAGCAACGCCGCGUGAGUGAAGAAGGCUUUCGGGUCGUAAAGCUCUGUCAAGUGGGAAAAAAGUCUGAUGAUUAAUAGUUGUCAGAUCUGAUGGUACCACUGAAGGAAGCACCGGCUAACUCCGUGCCAGCAGCCGCGGUAAUACGGAGGGUGCAAGCGUUGUUCGGAAUUACUGGGCGUAAAGGGCGUGCAGGCGGGUUGGUAAGUCAGAUGUGAAAGCCCUGGGCUUAACCCAGGAAGUGCAUUUGAAACUGCCAUCCUAGAGUAUGG